AGUGAACGCUGGCGGCAGGCCUAAUACAUGCAAGUCGAACGGCAGCACAGCAGAGCUUGCUCUGUGGGUGGCGAGUGGCGGACGGGUGAGGAAUACAUGGGAAUCUGCCCAGUCGUGGGGGAUAACGUAGGGAAACUUACGCUAAUACCGCAUGCGCCCUUCGGGGGAAAGCCGGGGACCUUCGGGCCUGGCGCGAUUGGAUGAGCCCAUGUCGGAUUAGCUAGUUGGCGGGGUAAUGGCCCACCAAGGCGACGAUCCGUAGCUGGUCUGAGAGGAUGAUCAGCCAACUGGAACUGAGACACGGUCCAGACUCCUACGGGAGCAGCAGUAGGGAAUAUUGGACAAUGGGCGCAAGCCUGAUCCAGCCAUGCCGCGUGAGUGAAGAAGGCCCUCGGGUUGUAAAGCUCUUUUGUCCGGAAAGAAAAGCGCCGGGUUAAUACCCUGGUGUCCUGACGGUACCGAAGAAUAAGCACCGGCUAACUCGUGCCAGCACG
This 494-nucleotide ribosomal RNA is filed under the name uncultured bacterium. RNAcentral describes it as "bacterial SSU rRNA". It matches the Rfam family "Bacterial small subunit ribosomal RNA", at positions 29 to 515 of the family's 1533-position model. The record is from RNAcentral.